RNAcentral lists this transfer RNA (73 nucleotides) under Stegodyphus mimosarum. It matches the Rfam family "tRNA". Rfam says of the family: Transfer RNA (tRNA) molecules are approximately 80 nucleotides in length. Lineage: Eukaryota; Metazoa; Arthropoda; Arachnida; Araneae; Eresidae. The record is from Rfam by way of RNAcentral.
ACCUUCGUGGUGUAGUGGUCAGCACACUGAGCCGGUAUUUCAGAGGUCCGCGGUUCGAUUCCCGGCGAAGGCG